This 63-nucleotide ribosomal RNA is filed under the name Colletotrichum acutatum. RNAcentral's name for it is "partial 28S ribosomal RNA". It matches the Rfam family "Eukaryotic large subunit ribosomal RNA", at positions 1 to 57 of the family's 3401-position model. Lineage: Eukaryota; Fungi; Ascomycota; Sordariomycetes; Glomerellales; Glomerellaceae. The record is from RNAcentral. RNAcentral also lists the same sequence under 1 other name.
ACAGGUUGACCUCGGAUCAGGUAGGAAUACCCGCUGAACUUAAGCAUAUCAAUAAGCGGAGGA